Molecule: long non-coding RNA, 713 nt
Organism: Haemorhous mexicanus (house finch)
Lineage: Eukaryota; Metazoa; Chordata; Aves; Passeriformes; Fringillidae
Exons: 3
Source: RefSeq, a predicted model, not a curated record
GCAGUGCUGUUCAUCCAUGAGAGCAGUGAUUUUAAUAAGGAAGGGAACUGAGAGAUUCCACCCGUCGCACGCUGAAUUCCUAUUUUACAACAUUAUAUAAUUCUAAUCCCUGUUUCAGCCCUUCAGCAGGAUGAAAGCGGCAGGGAAAACUGCACUAAACCCAGCCUUUCAACACAAUUCUGUGGGAAAAGACAAGAAACCUUAAGGCCAGAAGCACAGCAUCUGAAGUGCUACAAGUGUCAGACCUGUUUCAGAAGGACAACAACAAUGGAGUUCAGAGAGUCUUCCAUGCUGUCUGAAGGAUCUAUGUGCACUUUCAAGGACGGAGAUGGCUAAUUUCUUAAUAUUCCCAUUUAUGCUGUUGCUUUUUUCAGAAGAAAGUUUGAAAAUAAUUAUGCACAAAAGAAUUGUCUAUGGCUUCUGAAACCUGUGGUUCAACGCUUUGAUUUUUUUUCCUUUGAACACUGCUGUUAUUUCGGGAGGCAGGGGAGAGGGGGGAAAGAAUACUGAGUAACAUUUGAGUUUUUUGAAAUUUCCUCUUUUCAUUGAACAAGAAAUUUGGUAGAUAUACACUUGGGAAAUUCUGUUUUGGCAUUUCCAAUUCCUAACUAUUGAAAAUUUAAAUUUUAUGAAAAACAAUAAAAGACUGAAGAUUGCUAUUUUAAGCUACCUUUUUUUUGCUUGGUGUUCUUUGUUAUUUAGAAUAUGGUAUU